RNAcentral lists this unclassified non-coding RNA (354 nucleotides) under soil metagenome. RNAcentral describes it as "partial contains 5.8S ribosomal RNA, internal transcribed spacer 2, and large subunit ribosomal RNA". The stretch from base 1 to 120 matches the Rfam family "5.8S ribosomal RNA", at positions 35 to 154 of the family's 154-position model. The record is from RNAcentral.
GAUGAAGAACGUAGCGAAAUGCGAUACGUAGUGUGAAUUGCAGAAUUCAGUGAAUCAUCGAAUCUUUGAACGCACAUUGCGCCCGCCAGUAUUCUGGCGGGCAUGCCUGUUCGAGCGUCAUUACAACCCUCAGGCCCCCGGGCCUGGCGUUGGGGAUCGGCGGAAGCCCCCUGCGGGCACAACGCCGUCCCCCAAAUACAGUGGCGGUCCCGCCGCAGCUUCCAUUGCGUAGUAGCUAACACCUCGCAACUGGAGAGCGGCGCGGCCACGCCGUAAAACACCCAACUUUCUUAGAGUUGACCUCGGAUCAGGUAGGAAUACCCGCUGAACUUAAGCAUAUCAAUAAGCGGAGGA